RNAcentral lists this transfer RNA (65 nucleotides) under Dictyocaulus viviparus (bovine lungworm). It matches the Rfam family "tRNA". Rfam says of the family: Transfer RNA (tRNA) molecules are approximately 80 nucleotides in length. Their secondary structure includes four short double-helical elements and three loops (D, anti-codon, and T loops). Further hydrogen bonds mediate the characteristic L-shaped molecular structure. tRNAs have two regions of fundamental functional importance: the anti-codon, which is responsible for specific mRNA codon recognition, and the 3' end, to which the tRNAs corresponding amino acid is attached (by aminoacyl-tRNA synthetases). tRNAs cope with the degeneracy of the genetic code in two manners: having more than one tRNA (with a specific anti-codon) for a particular amino acid; and 'wobble' base-pairing, i.e. permitting non-standard base-pairing at the 3rd anti-codon position. The record is from Rfam by way of RNAcentral. Lineage: Eukaryota; Metazoa; Nematoda; Chromadorea; Rhabditida; Metastrongylidae.
GCCUCGGUAGUGUAGAACGGCAGACCGGAUAUCUGUAAGUGCGGGUCCGAGUCCCGCCUGAGGUU